Dreissena polymorpha is the source of this 432-nucleotide long non-coding RNA. RefSeq lists it as uncharacterized. The record is from RefSeq and is a predicted model, not a curated record. The transcript has 5 exons. NCBI's taxonomy places the organism in Eukaryota, Metazoa, Mollusca, Bivalvia, Myida, Dreissenidae.
AAACAAAAUGGCGGAGGCUUCGAAAUCUACAAUGAGCGAACCAGCCAAAACAGAGGGAGAGAUGAGAAGAAAUAAACGCGUGAGACAGCCAUCUAAGAGAAUGUUGUUGUAUUUUCAGGACACAGAUUCAGAUUCAAGUCUACAGAAGGGUAAAGGAAAACGUCCUGCCAGAAAGUUGAUACAUUAGCAACAACAACUAAGGGGACAAUGGAACACCAUAGCACGUCUGACAAUGAACCAGUACUGGCUUUUGUUCCUUCAAGUUCUGAUGAGUCUGAAGGAGAACCACUCAGUGAGAGAGAGGAUGAUUUAAGAACCAAAUGAAAGGGAAGGAAAAGAGGAAGUAAGAAAGUGAAAGGGCGCUGUUAUGUCCAUGAAGAACAAGAAAAAAAUAAUCUAAGGUUCGUUUUUCGUGUUUGUUGAAAAUAUAGA